Molecule: vault RNA, 100 nt
Filed under: Podiceps cristatus (great crested grebe)
Lineage: Eukaryota; Metazoa; Chordata; Aves; Podicipediformes; Podicipedidae
Rfam family: Vault RNA
About the family: This family of RNAs are found as part of the enigmatic vault ribonucleoprotein complex. The complex consists of a major vault protein (MVP), two minor vault proteins (VPARP and TEP1), and several small untranslated RNA molecules. It has been suggested that the vault complex is involved in drug resistance.
Source: Rfam by way of RNAcentral
GGGCUGGCUAUAGCCCAGUGGUUACUUCAAUGUGCUUAUCACUUCUCUCAUGCCCCAUGAGGGGUUCAAUCCCGCAGGCACCUUAGGCCCCCCCCCUUUU